GACGUUAGCGACAGAAGAAGCACCGGCUAACUCCGUGCCAGCAGCCGCGGUAAUACGGAGGGUGCGAGCGUUAAUCGGAAUUACUGGGCGUAAAGCGCAUGCAGGUGGUUUGUUAAGUCAGAUGUGAAAGACCCGGGGCGUCAACCUCGGAAUAGCAUUUGUAAACUAGGCAGACUAGAGUACUGUAGAGGGGGGUAGGAAUUUCAGGUGUAGCGGUGAAAUGCGUAGAGAUCUGAAGGAAUACCGGUGGCGAAGGCGGCCCCCUGGACAGAUACUGACACUCAGAUGCGAAAGCGUGGGGAGCAAACAGGAUUAGAUACCCUGGUAG
This 328-nucleotide ribosomal RNA is filed under the name uncultured bacterium. RNAcentral's name for it is "bacterial SSU rRNA". It matches the Rfam family "Bacterial small subunit ribosomal RNA", at positions 471 to 793 of the family's 1533-position model. The record is from RNAcentral.